GAUGAACGCUGGCGGCGUGCCUAAUACAUGCAAGUCGAGCGAACAGACGAGGAGCUUGCUCCUCAGACGUUAGCGGCGGAGUGGCGAGUAGCACGUUGAUAACCUACCUAUAUGCCUGGGAUAACUUCGGGAAACCUGAGCUAGUACCGUAUUAUAUAUUGAUCCUCAUGGUUCCAUAGUGAAAGACGGUUUUGCUGUCACUUAUCGCUGCCACCCGGCCGAAUUUUCUAUUUGGUAAGGUAACGGCUUACCAAGGCAACGAUCCGUAGCCGACCUGAGAGGGUGACCGGCCACACUGGAACUGGAACACGGUCCAGACUCCUACGGGGGGCAGCAGUAGGGAAUCUUCCGCAAUGGGCGAAAGCCUGACGGGGAAACGCCGGGUGGGUGAUGAGGGUCUCCGGUUGGUAAAACCCGGUUAAUAGGGAGAAACAAAUGUGUAAGUAAAUAUGCACGUCGUGACGGUACCUAAUCAGAAAGCCACGGCUAACUACGUG
RNAcentral lists this ribosomal RNA (497 nucleotides) under uncultured bacterium. RNAcentral's name for it is "partial 16S ribosomal RNA". It matches the Rfam family "Bacterial small subunit ribosomal RNA", at positions 28 to 507 of the family's 1533-position model. The record is from RNAcentral.